CACCCAUGUCAUAUAGCUCUUGCCCGAAAUUUCAAGGGCAACGAACUUUCUUUUUAUAAUGUUAGACAUAAAACAAAAUUACAUCAAGAGCGUGUCCGUACUUACGGGCUUUAUUACAAUUGUCACAUUCACUUCAGGGAAUGGAUCAUAAUCAUCUGUAUAUGCUAUAUACAAUCUCAUGUCAAAUAUUACUUUCAUAAAGUGAAAGAUUAUUUUGAGAAUCUUUAUUAUUCUCAUUAUCACAAUGAUGACGAUUAUAANN
This 262-nucleotide long non-coding RNA is filed under the name Nicotiana benthamiana. RNAcentral describes it as "long non-coding RNA (NBEN_LNC035283)". Lineage: Eukaryota; Viridiplantae; Streptophyta; Magnoliopsida; Solanales; Solanaceae. The record is from RNAcentral.